This 1405-nucleotide long non-coding RNA is filed under the name Fukomys damarensis (Damara mole-rat). RNAcentral's name for it is "lncRNA (ENSFDAG00000027068.1)". Lineage: Eukaryota; Metazoa; Chordata; Mammalia; Rodentia; Bathyergidae. The record is from RNAcentral.
CAAAACACUCUGCGUGGCUGAAUUCUAAAAUGAAAAAUACUACUCAAGGGGGUAUCUUUCACUAAAGAAAUAAGAAGUGCUUAUCAACUGGUUUUAAGAGUCCUCCACUUUGUGUUAACAUCCGUGACAGUGGAAAGAAUAAAAAAGAGCACCCCGCACCGGGACGAGCCCGCGCCCGCGCCCGCGCCCGCGCCCUCCGAGAGAAUCACGCUGCACAGUUUCACUCCGCAGACCUUGGGCUCUGAGUCACAGAGCAGCCGGCAGGCACUGAAAGCUACACCUUACCCAGGGAUCCGGGACAGCGCGCCCACCAGGCGCCCCGACAUACUGUCCCGGAAAGUUCAUCUGCGUCCCGGCCCGCAUGGCACAGAGUCUCUUUUAGCUUUGUGACUGCUCGCUCCACAUGCUGCCAUUUACAGUACACGGAACACAGCAAGUCUAUUUUUUGUCAAGAUGGGCUGGGUUUCACAGCUCCGCACAUGACAUCCAGUCACUCUUCUUGGCUCUUAAUGCUUCACAUGGUGGAGUCUUGAUUUUUGGCUGAUUGCCUCCAAUAUGUUCAAUUUUGGAUGAUUUUUAGAGUAGGUUUGUGAAACGAGGCCUCAGAAAUGUGAAAAACGUAUAGGUUUCUUUAAAGGGCUUGCGGGACACACUCAGCCUGCUUCCACGAGCACCGUUUGGAAGCCCAAGUGCUCGCUCGCGCCUCCGUGCCCUGGCCCCUGGGCCCUGGACAGGCGUGGACGGCAGAGAGCGGGCGAGGCCCAGGCAGCCCCUGGAGGAGGGCUGUGAGGGGCCGAGGGGACAGAGACGCGCUCCACAUUGCGCUUUAACUGCUGGCGCCGUGUCAGUUAGUUCGCCUACCUGGCACACGCGUCCUUUUACCAACCAUUCAAAAAUUUAAUCGAGAAAACUAUAUUUCUACUGCUAUUGUAAUCUUUAAAAGCGCUUCUGUGUGUCACUUCUGUUUUCCUAACACUAGCAAGUCUCACAGCUGCAGGCUCCAGCCCGGGCAGUGCGCGGCUCCCCGGGCGUGACCGUCGCAGCGUGGGUCUAAGCCUUUCUGCGGCUUCCACAGACACGGGGUUUCCGACCCCACUUUCCACCGGCCCAGCCUCCUGCAGACGCAGGCCUAGGAAUCCCUUACCUGUGUGAGCGACGCCCUCUGGGGAUCCGAGCUUCCCAGGACGAUGUCCAGGAGCCGCUCGACUGAGCUCCUCAGGACGUAGUCAAAAGCCGAGACGCCUGGUUAGGACUCGUCCCUACCCUUGCCGCCAGGACACUAGACCGAAGUAGCUAAUAGUUUAGUCAAAGAGCAGAGGUCAUCGGGAGAUCUACCUGAUCAGACUACGCUUGACUCUUUCAAAUAUUUGAAACUAUCAUCACAUACAAAAACGGUCUAAAAGAC